RNAcentral lists this ribosomal RNA (468 nucleotides) under uncultured bacterium. RNAcentral describes it as "partial 16S ribosomal RNA". It matches the Rfam family "Bacterial small subunit ribosomal RNA", at positions 28 to 507 of the family's 1533-position model. The record is from RNAcentral.
GACGAACGCUGGCGGCGUGCUUAACACAUGCAAGUCGAACGGAAAGGCCCUGCUUUUGUGGGGUGCUCGAGUGGCGAACGGGUGAGUAACACGUGAGUAACCUGCCCUUGACUUUGGGAUAACUUCAGGAAACUGGGGCUAAUACCGGAUAGGAGCUCCUGAUGCAUGGUGGGGGUUGGAAAGUUUCGGCGGUUGGGGAUGGACUCGCGGCUUAUCAGCUUGUUGGUGGGGUAGUGGCUUACCAAGGCUUUGACGGGUAGCCGGCCUGAGAGGGUGACCGGCCACAUUGGGACUGAGAGACGGCCCAGACGCCUACGGGAGGCAGCAGUGGGGAGUAUGGCACAAUGGGCGGGAGCCUGAGACAGCGACGCCGCGUGCGGGAUGACGGCCUUCGGGUUGUAAACCGCUUUCGCCGGUGACGAAGCGUGAGUGACGGUAAUGAGUAAGAAAGCACCGGCUAACUACGUG